Drosophila kikkawai is the source of this 543-nucleotide non-coding RNA. The record is from RefSeq and is a predicted model, not a curated record. Lineage: Eukaryota; Metazoa; Arthropoda; Insecta; Diptera; Drosophilidae.
GACGACUUUUCGUGGAAUGGAAAUGGUGGCAUUGAUGGAGUCGCCACUACGCUCCCACCCAACCUGUGGUGCCUCCGGUGUGUCUUGGGGCACCACCCAUCUCCGGCGGACCGGAGUCUAAUCCAGGCGGCCUGACGGCCGGCCCAUUUCCCCAGGCAUGAGUGAGUUCCAAUGGGACUCAUUCCCGGCGAAACGUUACCCUAGACCGGGAUGCGUACGCGCCUAGACUGCGGCAGCGGAGAAGAAACGGCGGUCCGCUAGAGAAAAUAGCCACAUCCCCUUUUUUCCUGCUGGAGCUCCAAAAGAAAUAAUGGGGACGGGUAAGUAUGCUUUCAUCAAAAUCCAACUUCUUCUACGCAGACUCCUUAAUUGUGCAGAGCUUGUGUUGCACAAAUCCCUGGCGCAAGUUAGGAGACGCGGAGAACAAGAACAUUGUAACAAUACGACAACUACAAGGCAGGAUAGGCGGCUGGCGAUGAGGCUUCGCUAGCAUGCGCGGCCAGGAAUGGCAGCAACUGAUGGUGGCAGCGAGCCCGAUGAAAA